This 412-nucleotide unclassified non-coding RNA is filed under the name soil metagenome. RNAcentral's name for it is "partial contains 5.8S ribosomal RNA, internal transcribed spacer 2, and large subunit ribosomal RNA". The stretch from base 1 to 122 matches the Rfam family "5.8S ribosomal RNA", at positions 35 to 154 of the family's 154-position model. The record is from RNAcentral.
GAUGAAGAACGUAGCGAAAUGCGAUACUUGGUGUGAAUUGCAGAAUCCCGUGAACCAUCGAGUCUUUGAACGCAAGUUGCGCCCGAAGCCGUCAGGCCGAGGGCACGCCUGCCUGGGCGUCACAGGCCGUUGCCCCCCCGCGCCCCGCACCCAACUCUUUGGGAGCGACCGCGGGGCGGGCUGAUGAUGGCCUCCCGUGCGCUCCGCCGCGCGGUUGGCCCAAAUACCGAGUCCCCGGCGACGUGCGCCACGACGAUCGGUGGUUGAGAGACCUCUGUCGCAAGUCGUGCGCGCCCGUCGCGUCACGCGGGCUCGCAUAGCGCCUCGCGCCGCACCCGGUGCGGAGCUUUCAACGCGACCCCAGGUCAGGCGGGGUUACCCGCUGAAUUUAAGCAUAUCAAUAAGCGGAGGA